GUCAGUAGAACAAUGAUGUAAAAACUUAAAACAAUGAUGUAUAAUUUCUCUCUCUCUCUCUCUCUCAUAAUUUUGCUGCCAGUAAACUCAAACAUGCUUCUUAAAUUACCCUGUGUGCCGUUUGCUCUGAGGUAAACUAAACUGCUAUUUUAUUAUAGUACGAUGUUCAUCAGAAAUUUUUUUUUUUUUUGUGACAUGAUUUCAUUUGUUUCUUUCUUCUUUUAGUAUCUAUUAUUCAUUUAUUUGAUACAUUGAUAGAUAUUAGUUAUUAACGUCUUACCUUGCGGCCAUAAAUGCAUUUCAACUGUGCCAAAGAGAUGGAACAAGAUUAUUCAUCUUAUGCUGCAUGCAAUAAUCUCAUUGUUUUUUAGCCAAACUUAAAAUUUGUUAAUUCAUUGCUUGAAAAUGCAGUUAUUCAAGUGGUAUGUAAAUAAUCUUGUUCAGAACUCAAAACUUGUCAUACAUUUGUAACUAAGAUCCUGUUUGAAAUCAAGGUAUGGAUACUGUGCAAAUGAUUAUGGAGUAAACUCACAAGUAAAAUACAGUAGUACUGCAGAAUUUGAUCACGAUUGCAUCUGCAUGAAUGUUGAAUUGGUAAUAAUGAGAAGAUCAGUGAACUUUUUUGUGUUUAUACUUUAUAUAAUAGUAGUGAAAUAUCCACUGAAUAAGAAAAUAAUUACUAUAUGCCAAAAAUGAGUCAAAUUCCUUAGUAAUAAGACCCCAGAUACUCCUUAUGUCAUUUGCUCAGUGUUUCUCUUACAAUAUCACUAAUGCAGUCCUUGUGAAACCAACCAAAAGGCAUGUGAUGCACCAUCCAGUGUUGAAAAUGAUUUGCCAAACCAUGAUUCUUGCCAAUGCUAAUUUGUAAAGUUGCAAGAGAAGAAUUGAAAGUAGA
Molecule: non-coding RNA, 895 nt
Organism: Arachis ipaensis
Lineage: Eukaryota; Viridiplantae; Streptophyta; Magnoliopsida; Fabales; Fabaceae
Source: RefSeq, a predicted model, not a curated record